Molecule: ribosomal RNA, 429 nt
Filed under: Gemmatimonadota bacterium
Lineage: Bacteria; Pseudomonadati; Gemmatimonadota
Description: Gemmatimonadetes bacterium partial 16S ribosomal RNA
Rfam family: Bacterial small subunit ribosomal RNA
Source: RNAcentral
UAGGGAAUCUUCGGCAAUGGACGAAAGUCUGACCGAGCAACGCCGCGUGAGUGAAGAAGGUUUUCGGAUCGUAAAACUCUGUUGUUAGAGAAGAACAAGGACGUUAGUAACUGAACGUCCCCUGACGGUAUCUAACCAGAAAGCCACGGCUAACUACGUGCCAGCAGCCGCGGUAAUACGUAGGUGGCAAGCGUUGUCCGGAUUUAUUGGGCGUAAAGCGAGCGCAGGCGGUUUCUUAAGUCUGAUGUGAAAGCCCCCGGCUCAACCGGGGAGGGUCAUUGGAAACUGGGAGACUUGAGUGCAGAAGAGGAGAGUGGAAUUCCAUGUGUAGCGGUGAAAUGCGUAGAUAUAUGGCGGAACACCAGUGGCGAAGGCGGCUCUCUGGUCUGUAUCUGACGCUGAGGCUCGAAAGCGUGGGGAGCAAACAGG